This 381-nucleotide long non-coding RNA is filed under the name Ictidomys tridecemlineatus (thirteen-lined ground squirrel). RNAcentral's name for it is "lncRNA (ENSSTOG00000031390.1)". The record is from RNAcentral. Lineage: Eukaryota; Metazoa; Chordata; Mammalia; Rodentia; Sciuridae.
UCGACAGAGGGUCAGUGCUCCCGUGUCCCCCCCAGAGGGUGUGGCCUUACCAGGAUCAUGUGGCCCGUGGAGAUGUCCAUGUCAGGCUGGACGGGCUCUUCUGACCAGGACGAGGUGCUGCUGCGGGCAGAAGGGCUGGGCAUUGGCCCGUCGCUGAACUGGGACGAGACGCUGUUGAUGCGGGAAGUGUGUGGGCCCUCGGGGCGGUAGAUGAGGCUGGAAGCCAGGAGCACCCCCAUGAUGCAGGCGACAGAGAGGAAGGUCAGCAGGAUGAACUUGGUCGAGUCUUCCUGCUGUCCCUGAUGAGGCAGAAGCGUGAGUCUGCUUUUCUGUGUGACAAGGAGAGAGGGACCUGUCAGUACUGUGCAUGACCUGCUAGCA